AUGCUGGAGGUAAUCCAUGGGAGUCCAGUUGGCGAUCUUGGGGCAGGCCUUGGAGCCGACGACGCAGGCCAGCGCGGGCUUCCAGUACUUGAUGUCCUGCAUAUGCUUCUGGAGCCACGAGGAGUAGUCCGAGAUGUGGUACUCCCUGUACGGCCUCCCUUGCACCUGCGUGCCGCCGCCCCCCGCCGUGACGGCGAACCCGAACAUGGUGAGCCCGAGCAGCAUGCCGAUGAGGAGUAUCACGGCGAAGAGGUAGAGCCACAGCGCCCAGGCGACGUGGAAGCAGGCGCCCACGAACCCCGCGAGGGAGAUGAGGAGCACGAUGAAGCCGAUGAUGAGCAGCGGCGUCUGCAGCAUGGAGGAGCACGUCGUCGUGGAGCCCUUGGCGAGCCAGAGCCCCGCACCGAUGACCGGGAUGGAGGCCAGGAGCGUCGCCAGGUUGAGGUAGCCGAUCAUCAUGUUGCUGAAACGCUGAGGGUAGUACAUGCCGUUCAUCUUGCUUCCUGCUCCUGCUCCUGCUCAGGUUCUUCUUGCUCCUUCCCCUGCUCCUGCUCUGUUCUUAUGUGCACUGCUGCUGGCCUUUGGUUUGGUUUAUAUGAUACGGCUGGCUACGGUGUUCUUGGCUCUUGUUGCCCUAAAUUUGAUUUGGCUUGUCUCACUCUCACUCUCUCUUCUACUGAUUGGGAUGGUGGUAGUGUGUCCUGGAGCGGCCUGGUGCAAAGCAAGCUUUGCCUUUCUUCUUGCCUUGGAGAACUACUUUUGCAUCCUGGUGACUGUGCGUGCGUGUGUGUCCCUGCAAUGCGGCGUACUUGUGGGUAUUCUAAUGCUGGCAUUGGCUUUGCCUUUGUGGAGGCCGUUCUUUAA
Molecule: ribosomal RNA, 864 nt
Filed under: Triticum aestivum (bread wheat)
Lineage: Eukaryota; Viridiplantae; Streptophyta; Magnoliopsida; Poales; Poaceae
Description: partial small subunit ribosomal RNA
Source: RNAcentral